RNAcentral lists this ribosomal RNA (587 nucleotides) under bacterium enrichment culture clone LH07. Its description in RNAcentral is "bacterial SSU rRNA". It matches the Rfam family "Bacterial small subunit ribosomal RNA", at positions 344 to 940 of the family's 1533-position model. The record is from RNAcentral.
GGGAGUAGGGGUGGUGCAGUCAGAGCGCAGCCUGAUCCAGCCUGCCGCGUGAGUGAAGAAGCCUUCGGGUUGUAAAGCUCUUUCGGCCGUGAAGAAAUCGUGGUCUCUAACAUAGGACAUGGAUGACGGUACCGGACUAAGAAGCACCGGCUAACUACGUGCCAGCAGCCGCGGUAAUACGUAGGGUGCGAGCGUUAAUCGGAAUUACUGGGCGUAAAGCGUGCGCAGGCGGUUUUGUAAGACAGAUGUGAAAUCCCCGGGCUUAACCUGGGAACUGCGUUUGUGACUGCCAGGCUAGAGUACGGCAGAGGGGGGUGGAAUUCCUGGUGUAGCAGUGAAAUGCGUAGAGAUCAGGAGGAACACCGAUGGCGAAGGCAGCCCCCUGGGCCUGUACUGACGCUCAUGCACGAAAGCGUGGGGAGCAAACAGGAUUAGAUACCCUGGUAGUCCACGCCCUAAACGAUGUCCACUAGUCGUUCGGAGCAGCACUGCACUGAGUGACGCAACUCACGCGUGAAGUCGACCGGCGGGGGAGUACGGCCGCAUGGUUAAAACUCAAAUGAAUUGGCGGACGCGCGGGGGGCCAA